ACCUGAGGCGGCGGCGGGGCCGGGUGCGGGCGCUCCGGGACGCGGGGCCGGGCGGACACACUGGCGGGGCCGGGGCCUGGCCGUCCCACCGCCGUCUGCCCCCCGCGCCGGGGCCGGGCCCAGACGCACUUCCUCAAUCCUGAGGCGGGCGGGCGGGGAGGGCGGCGCGAAGAGCGCGCAGAGCAAGGCCGCCGCCAGCUCUCCCAGGAACCGUCGCGAGGCGUCCCCUCGGCGGCCGCCUCAGUUUCCCUGGCCGUAAAACGCGGGCGAUGGCGCUCGAUGCCCCGGGAGACGCCGGGGUCCGCGGGCCCUUCCGGCACCGGGUCCUCCUUCAGGUUCGGGCACCCGGCUGCCUCCACGCGGGGCGAGCGCGGCGAUGGGAUCGGUCCGUGCUGCGCUCAGCCCCGCUUUCGCUAUCCCUCUGCUCCAGGGGCAGCAAAAUCAGCAGAUGAGCCCCCAGCGCGCCUGCGGCCCACACACUGCGGCCGUAACAGUUAAACAGACGGGGAACAUUCAUGUGCGUAGAGCUCUUCACGGGGCGAUACAGAAAUGUGUCGUUCUAAAGCGUUAACGACCUGCAAUUUGCAUAUCCUCCAACACAUGGAUUUUACUGAUUCAAUUAUGGAUGUGUGCAAAGAAUCUGCUGCUCGCACCCUGUGAGGAGGGUUACCUCUGUGGAGCCGGUGAAGGCGAUCUUGUUGAUCUGAGGGUGAGAAGAAAUUGCUGCUCCCACUGUGGGCCCGAAUCCUGGCACAAUGUUCACCACUCCUGGAGGGAACCCGGCCUGGGAAGAAAUCAAGAUAGCACUUGAAGAAGAACGGACUUCAUCCACCACGGAUCCACAUUUGGGCCGAGAGAGCCGUGGCUGCCUCACAUCCCCACAGGGAACCCGGGCCGGGCUGGAUUUACCCAGGACCCAGAAGCAGUUGACCGUGGGCACCCUGGGAGCUGACCUGGGCUUCUCAUCCCCUGCUGCCAGCCCAGUGUGCAGGCUGGGCAAGGGGAGAUGCCCACUUCUCCUUCUGGGGGGGGACCCCAUCCCAAAGUGAUAUGCAGUGCAAAUGUGUGGUUAUGCUUCAAGGUGGCCAUGGCCCGCCUGUAGCACAGCACCUUUCCAUGUGGGGUGUGUGUGUGUGUGAGGGAGAGUGUGUGUAUGCGUUAAGGGGAGAGGGGUACCUUGAUCAGAAUGCCCUGCCCAGGAUCAGAGGCACCUGCAAAAUAUCUGCCAAGAGCUUCAGUUUUGUUUUUUCUUCUUUUUUUUUUUUUUGAGAUGGAGUCUUGCUCUGUCGCCCUGGCUAGAGUGUAGUGGCGCGAUCUUGGCUCACUGUAAGCUCCGCCUCCCAGGUUCACGCCAUUCUCCUGUCUCAGCCUCCUGAGUAGCUGGGACUACAGGUGCCCGCCACCACGCCUGGCUAAUUUUUUUUUUUUUAAGUAGAGAUGGGGUUUCACUGUGUUAGCCAGGAUGGUCUCGAUCUCCUGACCUCGUGAUCCACCCACCUCGGCUUCCCAAAGUCCUGGGAUUACAGGCGUGAGCCCAGUUUUCAUUUUUUAAUCAGACCCGUUAUUAUUCCAAAUGGUGACAGGGUAUCACUCCCUUAAAGUUCUUUGCUUGUUCAACCUGGGUCUCACCUGGAGCAAGCCCUUCUGGAAGGCAGGGACUGCCACCUCGUUCACGUUCAUGCCUCGUGUUUUUCAUAUACUAAGCCUCUUUAUCAGGCGAGAACACAAAACAAACGAGGUGGAGGAUGCUCUUCCCCACCUGUGCUGAGUCUUACUUAGAACACAUUAUUUCAGAAAAUCAAGAUUUUAGGCACGCUGCUUGAGUCUUUAGAUUUUUAGGCACUGUUUCUUAACAGUUGGGAUUUUCACAUUCCUAAGUCUCACCAGUGUGACUUAAUUAUGCCCCACAUCACCAAAGGAAAGUGGAAAAUUGGCUCAUCACCAGCUGUUCCCACCUUGCUUCUAAGCAACUGUGGACCUGCCUGCCGGUCAUAUCAGCCCGACUAAGAAGAGAAAGGAAUGGAUCUUUUCUUCUGUCCCUCUUUGCUUCCUGUUGCUUUCUCUAAAUCUUUGCUCCAUACAACCUGGGGAUGGAAUGACUAAAGGUAUGUCUGGAAGGAGGUGUCCCAUUGAGCCUCUGUUUCCCUAAGUUCUGGCUGCCUGAGGGAGAAGAGAUUGCAUUCAGAGCAGAGGGCACUGAUUAGCAGGGACCCGGCACACGGACUGCUGCAGCCGCCCAGCUAGAGCUGACGAGGCCACCUCUCCAGAGAAAAAUGGACCAUUUCAUAAACUGAGAAUGCAAAUCCCAGAGAACCUCCCAAAUAUUUGGCUCCCUCUUGGUUGACCCCCCCUGAAAAUUCUCUAGACAAACCACUGGGUCCUCAACCAUAGGUUUGAGCCCAUAAUAAGAGUUAAGCAUUCUCAUUAGGACCACUGGGAGGAAUGGAGUUUCUCCAGCUCAGUGGCCACAAGCAGGAGAAAGAACGUGCAGUCGCCAAACAAAACACUGGAAGUCAUUCCCUUCCCACUCGAUUGCCAGCAGUCUGCCACUGUCCCAUCUCGUGACGGUGGCCUGGUUCCUAGGAGUGGGAAUGUUACCAAGAACAUGUGAUAUUUUCUUUUUGGAUGUCUCACCUCUUUGAUCAGAGAGCCGAGAUAAAGGGCGGUGAGAGGUGUCUGCUCCGCAGGCUUCAGGACCAUGGUGUUCCCACAGCAGAGGGCGGGUGCCAGCUUCCACACCAGCAUCAGCAGGGGGAAGUUCCACUGCGACAGAGCACAGGGGCUUUGGAGGCCCAGAUCCACCCUCUUACCCUGUCCCAUGUGCUCAACGAUGCCUUUGUGGAGGACACUUGCUUUUCAUGGUCUGGAUUUGGGGUAUGUGGGGUAACAUAGGAGUGUGCAAUGAUCAGAACUGCAAUCCUGCACAGCACUUCCUAAACUGCAUUCUGGGUGGUACUAAUAGGCAGCCUUUGCAAAGAGGAUGCUGUUGCAUGUGUUCUACCUCUCCCUCUAAAACAUCUGCUGAAGACGUGUCCUCCUCCCUGCCUCCAUGGGCACUUUUUGAACCCUCACUUCAUGUUGCCACCUGGCUCUUCAGCUUCCUGCCUGGCUGUUGUUGCAAUGGCCAGAGGCUUCCCAAACAGACAGGCAGCAUUGUUGCACUUCUUGGGCACCUAUAAGCAUCCCCACCGCCCAAUGAAUAAAGUCCCGGCCCCUUAGCAGCCAAAGCUGCUGGAAGCUGGCCCACACCACCUGCCACGUGUGCUCACCCUUUUCCUCACUUUUGCUCCUGCCUGAGCUCUAGCCCCACCAGCUUUCCUGCUGUUCCCUUCCAAGUAGCCCAGCCACCUCUGCACUUUUGCCUAGGCCAUUCCCACUCCUUGGAAAAUCCUUUUCCUUGUUGAACAAGUCUUUCUUAUCUUUAAGGCCCAGCUAAGAGACCACCUUCCUGGGAAUGCUGGCCAUUCCUGACCACUCUGGCUGGGAACCACAGUGCUUUCUGUGGCAUGCCUAAAGCCGGUCUUAGGAGAGCAGAAAUGGGGUCUAAUCCAUCUCAAGAGCCCCCAAGCAUGGAGUUCCAUGCCACGAAGAAAAUGCUUGUUCAACGCUGGUGCAAUCAGAUAAAAACACACCAGAAAUUGAUUCCAAAGGACACAGGGCAGUGGGGCAGGAUCUACAUAGAAUCUACUGAGAAAGGCUGCCAUACUUACUGGAGUGAUGGCCCCACAGACACCAAUGGGCUCAUGCCUGGUGAAGCACACGACGUUGUCAUCUGGAAGAGGGUUACAUGGUGGGGAAGGACACACUCACUUAGUCCAGGUUAGGAACUUCAAGUAGUAAAAAGACAAGAAAGAAACCAACAAGGGUGCCAGAUUCAAGUCUUGUCUAUUAUACAGAGAAGUGAUUUGACCUCAACUUUAAAAGUGAAGUUCUUAGAAGAAGAAUUGGCAGUACCAUUUGGAGAGGGAGUGGGGUUGGGAAUGGUGCCUUAGGGAAACAGUCAGGGGGGGCUCUGGAUUAAUGAAAAGAUAUAGCCCCAAAGGGAUCCCAAAUGAAGCUAUAAUCCACCUUGCUCACCUGUGGGGAUGGUCUUGCCCUGGAUUUUGUCUGCCCACCCUGCAAAGUAUCUGAGGGUUCUAAUACAGCCCUCCAGGUCGAUGAAAAAAGCAUGAAGAAAUGGCUUCCCUGUAUCCAUCGUCUCCAGGGCCUGCAAUAACAAGAUGAUGUCUGUUUCGGACAUAGCUUGCUUUUCUUUUGCACUGUCAGGUUGUUAAAGAUGGAAGUUGGGGAGAGAACACAGUCCUAGGACAUUGCUCUGUAGACCUCACAGUCAGAUGCACCUCUUCAGAAAGCAUGACACCAAAUGUAAAGCGAGGCCUGUCUCUGAGUGUGAGGAUUGCUUUUAUUUCAAAACACCUAAAGUGGGCUGCAGGGUGGUGGGCUAAAACAUAGACAUGCACCCUCUUUGAAGGGCCCCUUGGAGGCCAGGCGGAUUUAAAGCUGUGCUGGGAAGGAACGCACACUGGCAUCUGAUCUUCCAUCUGUAGCACAGUGGCCUCUGCUGUGUGGCCAGUCGUGUGUGCUUGUGUGUUCCCAGGAAGCUCUCUGAAGGUUAGCUGGCUCUGGGGUGGCUGCAGUGGGAGCUGCCCUCCUCGAACAAAAGAGAAAGAGAAGAUGUAGGCUCUUCCUUCUCGGCCAGGCUGGCCAGUGUGGCUGUGGAAAGUGACUGAGCCGAGAAGGGUCGCGCCCCCAGCACAAAGAUGCAAUCCUUCCCUCCUGCACUGCAGAGCCCGGCCGGCCGGAUGCAGAGUCGGAAGGGAGCAGACUGCCCUGCUGGUGAGGGAGGUGAUUACCCAGGGCGAGUGUGCAGCCACUCAAUGGCAGGGAUUCUUUUCUAUUUCCAGCCGGGGUGGAAGAGAACCCCUUUGUCCCUCAGACAAGUGGCCCCAGUUGAGCCCAGCGCUGAAACCGCCAGUCAUCCGCCUCUGCAGGAAGUGGCCGCCCUGACACAUAGCCCAGGGCUGGAUUCUUGUGGAAGAGUCAGUGGAGUGAGAUGGUGAUUGAAAAAGGAAGAAGGCCCCUCCUCAGAUCCAGGGCUUUAACCCCAGCGCACUCCCCGAUGUCUCACCCUUUGAGCUCCAUGACUGCAUUCCCACUUCAAGGUGCAGGCACGGACGCUAACGGCCCAGUGACUUGGCCAAGGCCACCCAGUAAUGCAGCAGCUGAAUUGGGGGCAUCUACUUCUGGCCAGCACAGCGACUGGCCUUUACAGGCUGCUCCUGGACAGGUGUGUCUGGAAAGACUGCAGGGCAGCCACUCCGGAUGCUCGGGCUACCCCAGCUCCCCUUUGCUUCAGGAAUGAGCCAAGCCCCCUUUAAAUAGGAGGCAACUACAUCUGCUGAACCCUAGUUAAGUAAGUGGGCCUUGGGUAAGUCCCUGAAUCACUCCUUGCCUCAGUUUCCUCAUCUGUAAAAUAAGAAUAAUAACGGUUCCUACCUCACAGGGCCAGCGUUAGAGUGAAAGGAGUCAGUGUCCACAGAGCAGCAACCACAGUGCCCGCCCAUGGUGAGUGCUGGAUUGGUGUUCACAUGAGAACACUGAUGAUUACACUGACUAUCAUCAACUUCCCUUUAGGCACCAGAGAAGGGCUUGGCGAUCCUCACCUGGGGACCCAGACAGCGCACUGGGUUGCUAAAGACCACAGGACUGGUCUAGCUUGGGGUGUGUGUUCUGCCCCCAGCAGCUGCCACUCAGGGACUGAGUCAGGCCAGUGUGACAUCAAGUAUACUCUAGUGUUGGUUCCUAUAGAUUUUCACUCAAGCGUGAACUUUCAUUUUUCCAGGGGAAGCCUAGCAAUUGCAAAUAGUGCAAAAAGGCCUCUAAGACUGACCUAUUCCAGACAGUAUCUGCAUAUCUGUCAGUGGAAUUGCAAGUUUAUUCUUUGCUCUUUUCUGGGAUGGAACAAGAGAGAGGACUUCAACAUCCAGCACUGAGGGUAAGCGCGAGACAUGGAGCCAAGAUUCUGCCUCCAGUCCUGGAUUACCACCUCUGGCUGGGUGACCUAGGACAGGUUACUUAACCUCUCUGGGCCUCAGUUUCUCAUCUCUGAAAUGAGAUAAUAAAUCCUACAGGUCAACAAGCCAGGUACAUGGCGAACAUUCAGCCAGCAUUGCUAUUUGUUUUUAUUGUCAACUUCAGCAAGUUUGCUUACUGGAGUGACAACAUGAAUUUACCAGGUUAGUUUUAUGGAAUUUCUCUGAGCAAAACCCAGGUCAUGAUAGGUUUAGACGGGAAAUUAUUAAAAAAAAUUAUGCAGGUGAGUGAGUCCAAGUGCUCGCUACAGAUUGAAACAGUCAUCCUUUAAACAACUUGUUACUGUGGCUCAAUCAUGAGUAAACCAUAGCCACUCCUAAGUUUAUUUCCUUUAACAUUUUAAGAGGAAAAUGUGCCUCCUGAGAAAUUAACACAUCAGAACCCUCAGAUACUAAAGAAUGACGGGAAGUGCCAGGAAAACAGCACGGCAGGGCUUACAACGAGAGGACCCAGAAAUGGCACUUGGGGUGAAAAGGAGAGUGGAUAGGGAGGGCUUCCGUUUGGGAGCUCCCAAAAUGAGCGCCCAAAGAGCAGAGUUGGGGCCUGGGUGCCCCAGCAAAGGAAAGCCAUCCAGGGGCCGCUGGAUCCCCCACAUCUGUUUCCAGACACUGAGCACAGAAAUAAACACCCAGCUCUGUCAAACCACUGAGCCGGCAAGAGAACACGCUCCAUGAACAUGCACGGAAACCAUAUCGAGGUGGAGAGCAAGGGGCGCUCUCCUGUGAUGUGGUUGGAGUUUUAAAAACCGUGUUUGCCAGUAAUUCUCUUGUCCCUUUCAUGUUGUGGCAAAGAGCUGGAUCUUAUUUCUCGUGGGCUGCGAGGUGCCAGUGGCAGAAGUGAUUUGCUGGGUUUGCAUUCUGAGAUCCUCCAAAGCUGUCUGCUAUCAAAACACAGUCGUGCCAGGACAAUGGGGCAGCCUGAAGAUGAAGGUGGCUUUGUAGCCUCUGCUCCUAAGAUGAUACUGACACUUAAGGACAGGGUUCAGGGCGGGGGGUGCCCAGGGCACAUCCUCUCUAGCCUGCUAUUAGUCCACACGGACAUUGCCGACCGAUGAGCUCAUGCCGGGUGAAAACAGAAAUGUUUUUGAAAAAGCCAGUUUGGCAGCUUGAGGGUUGACGCUGGCUUACGUUGCAGGAAGAAACCAGAGGCUCCUCAGAGAGAAGCGCUUACCCUGGGAGGGAGCUACUCUCACCCGGGGAACAUGUGGACUGGCCGGGCUGACUGGGAAGGAAGGAAGGGGAGCUCGAGUUUCUGUGUGGAUGCACCCUUAGGGAAAUGCACCCAAGAGUACGGCCUGAGAGUUCCUCCACCCUGAGAAACACAUUCAGGGGCAACAGCAAUUUCCGUGUCCUGGCUGACACCCUCCUUUAAACAGUGGCUACCCUACUGCUUGUUCCCGACAUCAGAAAAACCAUUUUUCCAAAUCAAAGGCCAGAAAGGAGAUCUCCUCCCCUACAACCGGGCCUCAAGGUUUGGAACAACUUUUAAAAACAAGAGGCUGAGAUGGGCAAGGACAGGAUGCAAAGGACCUCAUGGCCCAACGUGGCCCUGAGAUGUCCUCUGAUCACUCCCUCAUGACCAGAGGAGGGUCUGAGGAUCCUGCUAAAAAAUGGACUUACAACUGAUGAAUGCCUUGGCAGCUCAGCCUCAUGGGGUAUGCUCCAUCAAUAUCCCCACCUAGGGUAUCUAGAAAUUACUGGCCAGCAGUGCAUGUAGGUGAGGUUAGAAAAUGGGUCUUCACAUGACCUCAUUAUGAUAACUGCUAUUAUUAAUGAUAGCUGUCAUCUAUUUAGUGCUUACUGCCUGCCAGGGACUCUGCCUAGAAUCUUAAAUAGAUCAUUCUUACACCACUGAGUUAUCAUUAUCGGUGACAUUUUACAUGAAGAAAUAAAUCUCAGAGAGGUUUCACAACUUGUCCAAAGUCACACAGCUAGUAAGUGGCAGAGUGGGGAUUUGAACCCAGGUCUUUCCUAUUCUGAGGUUUCCUAUAACCAGGCUAUCCUGCCCUCACCACCGCUCCACAUAUGCUCGCUACUAGCCAGUUCAGGGGUGACUGAGGAAUGAUUUUAGGUCACAUGGGAACAAUUUUUUCUAUGUUAAGUGGUGGCAUUUAUUUUGGUAAGUAUUAGAAAAAUAAAAUUAGCACAUCAAACCUGUGAUUUCAUGAAUAUUGUUUCUUAGGAUGAGAUUAAACUUAAGUUUAAAAGGGAGUUAAGGCUGGGUGCAGUGGCUCACAUCUGUAAUCCCAGCACUUUGGGAGGCCAAGGCCGGUAGAUCACCUGAGGCCAGGAGUUCGAGACCAGGAGUUCAAGACCUGGCCAACAUGAUGAAACCCUGUCUCUGUUACAAAUAUAAAAAUUAGCCGGGCAUGGUGGCAGGCACCUGUAGUCCCAGCUACUCAGGAGGCUGAGGCAAGAGAAUCAUUUUAACCUGGGAGGCAGAGGCUGCAGUGAGCCGAGAUCGCGCCACUGCACUCCAGCCUGGGUGACAGAGGGAGACUCUGUCUCAAAAAAAUAAAUAAAAUAAAAUAAAUAAAAGGAAGUUUAUACAAAAAAGAAAAAAGUUAAGUACAUAAACACACAGGUGGUACCAGGAUAUGGCCCAGCUCAUGGUCACCAAUCUGUGAGUGCCCCAAGUCUGAGACCACUGAUGUAGCUCAACUGCCUAUAGACAACAACUUGGUCAAGAAGCUGAGCUGCAGAGGACAAAAGUCUGACUUCAAAAUGAAAGGGAUUCAGUCUAGAGGCAUUAACACCUGCAAGUAUUGCCAGAGAGCCGUGUCUCAGAGGAUGGAACAGACCCACGACCACACAAAACCAGGACCGUGAUCUUUUUUCCCAUACCCCAUGGUGGACAGGACCCUCAGUGAGGCUGGCUCAUCCCCCACCGGCCCCCAAGUGCAUGUACUCACGGCCAAGGUGGCGCGGUCCCUCUCCACCAGGUCAGCCAGCUGGUGCAGCAGCCGCCCACGACUCAGGGCAUCCAGCCGGCGCCAUGGCGAGCCCCUCUGGAAGGCAACCUGUGCAGCCUCCACAGCCUUGUCCACGUCGGGCUGAGCGACCAGAACAACAGAGAGAGACUGUCAUCUUUUGACGUGACUGCAGUUUGGGUGUCAUCUUUUGACGUGACUGAAGUUU
Molecule: long non-coding RNA, 9230 nt
Filed under: Homo sapiens (human)
Lineage: Eukaryota; Metazoa; Chordata; Mammalia; Primates; Hominidae
Description: non-protein coding lnc-CHSY1-5:8
Source: RNAcentral